RNAcentral lists this long non-coding RNA (1412 nucleotides) under Rattus norvegicus (Norway rat). Its description in RNAcentral is "long non-coding RNA NONRATT019055". Lineage: Eukaryota; Metazoa; Chordata; Mammalia; Rodentia; Muridae. The record is from RNAcentral.
GAGGAAGCUGAAGGAUUGGCUGGCCACCCCAGAGUGUCUCCUCAGCAGUGCUCAGAGCCUGAGACUAAAUGGUCCUCCACCAAGGCCUCACAUCCACAAAAGAAGGGAGCCCCCACUCGAGGCAUAACACCGUGGUCAGAUGGUCUUAGCACUGGCUUGGGGCCCGAACUCAGCAGUACCAAGCCACCCACUGAUGGUUCUCAAAGACCCCAGGAAGGGAAGGACAAACAGGUGUCAUCAGAGAGCGAUCCUGAGGGUCCCAUUGCUGCCCAGAUGCUGUCAUUUGUCAUGGAUGACCCUGACUUUGAAAGCGAUGAGUCGGACACCCAGAAGAGAGUGGUAAGGAGAGGCUGCUGCGUGGGCAGCUCGGGCUCCAUCCUUCGAGAGAUGGAGGACAGUCAAGGUCUGUUUCCCAGAGGAGGGUCUGAGGAGAUGCAGGAGAAUGUUCUGGGCUCCAGUUCCCCACUGCACAGCCCUUUCUUAUUUACUGUGUGUCUGAAGCCUGAUGGAGAAAGUGAAUGAGAGUUCAUGGGAGGGGGCCCAUUGUCUACAUGAAGGCACUGCUGGUAUUUCUGAAUCUGGGUCAGCUUAGCCCCUCCCAUCUGGCCCCAUCCCUAGCCCCUGGAGUCCGAAGUGGACUUGCCAACCUCUCUUCCCAGAUCCCAUGUAGUGGUCAGGGGACAAUAGGCCUACCAACUGCUCUCUUUCCAGGGCAGGUUCCCAGUAAGAGAAGACCUCUCUGAUGUAACUGAUGAGGAUACUGGCCCUGCUCAGCCACCCCCACCCUCCAAGUUCCCAGUCCCUGCUUUCAGGCUGAAGAAUGACUCAGAUCUCUUUGGGCUGGGCCUGGAGGAGCUGGGACCCAAGGAAAGCAGUGAGGAAGAUAAAGACAGCAAACUUCCCUCCAAGGAGAAGAAGAAAAAGAAGAAGAAAAGCAAAGAGGAGGAAGAAAAGGCUACAAAAAAGAAAAGCAAACAUAAGAAGAGCAAGGAUAAGGAAGAGGGCAAGGAGGAUGGGAAGAAGAGGAGGAAGCCCCCUCGGAGCAAAGAGCAAAAGGCUGCGGAUGAGCUGGAAGCCUUCCUGGGGGGCGGGGCCCCUGGCAGCCGCCACCCUGCGGGUGGGGACUAUGAGGAGCUCUAGACAUACCCGGGCAGUUGACUGUCUGAGAAGAGGUGGGCUGCUGUCUAUGCUCCCACAUUCCCAGGACCACCCUGCCACCUACGACCCUCAGCCAUUAUGUCUGCCCCUCUGUGGUCUGGCCCACUCUACAUUGAUUUUUGUGCUGGAGACCUUGGUGGUAAUCAGGCCCUUGGGUCCGGAGCUGCAGGUGCUGGGCCUCAACCCAGCAGAAGCCUGCUCUGCAGGGAGGGAGGGGACAGAAUAAAGUUGCAGCUGGCUUGGUGGACCAUCUG